UUACCUGGCCAACAUGAUGAAUCAAGUUUUGAUCAGAUCGCUUAAUGAUUAGGGUUGACCCAUGUUUACUAGAAAAUCAGUUCGACUGAUUUAGGUGCCCCUAGUUCGACUUGUCUUUAUCCUCGACAUGAUUUGGUGAGGUUAGUGGGAGGAUUGAUGAUUUGUCAGUUGAACAGGCUUGUUUCUAGUCCACCCUAAUCUAACUUGAUAAAGUUAGUGG
This 220-nucleotide long non-coding RNA is filed under the name Elaeis guineensis (African oil palm). RNAcentral's name for it is "long non-coding RNA (EGUI_LNC035838)". Lineage: Eukaryota; Viridiplantae; Streptophyta; Magnoliopsida; Arecales; Arecaceae. The record is from RNAcentral.